UAGGGUGAAGAUAGCGGAAGGGAUACACCUGUACCCAUCUCGAACACAGAAGUUAAGCCUUUUAGCGCCGAUGGUACUAUGAUGGAGACGUCAUGGGAGAGUAGGUAUUUGCCCAAC
This 117-nucleotide ribosomal RNA is filed under the name Gallicola sp. Lineage: Bacteria; Bacillati; Bacillota; Tissierellia; Tissierellales; Peptoniphilaceae. The record is from RNAcentral.